RNAcentral lists this ribosomal RNA (2921 nucleotides) under Klebsiella pneumoniae. RNAcentral describes it as "bacterial LSU rRNA". It matches the Rfam family "Bacterial large subunit ribosomal RNA". The record is from RNAcentral. Lineage: Bacteria; Pseudomonadati; Pseudomonadota; Gammaproteobacteria; Enterobacterales; Enterobacteriaceae.
GGGUUGUGAGGUUAAGCGACUAAGCGUACACGGUGGAUGCCCUGGCAGUCAGAGGCGAUGAAGGACGUGCUAAUCUGCGAAAAGCGUCGGUAAGGUGAUAUGAACCGUUAUAACCGGCGAUGUCCGAAUGGGGAAACCCAGUGCAAUUCGUUGCACUAUCGUUAACUGAAUACAUAGGUUAACGAGGCGAACCGGGGGAACUGAAACAUCUAAGUACCCGAGGAAAAGAAAUCAACCGAGAUUCCCCCAGUAGCGGCGAGCGAACGGGGAGCAGCCCAGAGUCUGAAUCAGCUUGUGUGUUAGUGGAACGGUCUGGAAAGUCCGACGGUACAGGGUGAUAGUCCCGUACACCAAAAUGCACAGGCUGUGAACUCGAAGAGUAGGGCGGGACACGUGGUAUCCUGUCUGAAUAUGGGGGGACCAUCCUCCAAGGCUAAAUACUCCUGACUGACCGAUAGUGAACCAGUACCGUGAGGGAAAGGCGAAAAGAACCCCGGCGAGGGGAGUGAAAAAGAACCUGAAACCGUGUACGUACAAGCAGUGGGAGCACCUUCGGGUGUGACUGCGUACCUUUUGUAUAAUGGGUCAGCGACUUAUAUUCUGUAGCAAGGUUAACCGUAUAGGGGAGCCGCAGGGAAACCGAGUCUUAACUGGGCGUUAAGUUGCAGGGUAUAGACCCGAAACCCGGUGAUCUAGCCAUGGGCAGGUUGAAGGUUGGGUAACACUAACUGGAGGACCGAACCGACUAAUGUUGAAAAAUUAGCGGAUGACUUGUGGCUGGGGGUGAAAGGCCAAUCAAACCGGGAGAUAGCUGGUUCUCCCCGAAAGCUAUUUAGGUAGCGCCUCGUGAACUCAUCUUCGGGGUAGAGCACUGUUUCGGCUAGGGGGUCAUCCCGACUUACCAACCCGAUGCAAACUACGAAUACCGAAGAAUGUUAUCACGGGAGACACACGGCGGGUGCUAACGUCCGUCGUGAAGAGGGAAACAACCCAGACCGCCAGCUAAGGUCCCAAAGUCAUGGUUAAGUGGGAAACGAUGUGGGAAGGCACAGACAGCCAGGAUGUUGGCUUAGAAGCAGCCAUCAUUUAAAGAAAGCGUAAUAGCUCACUGGUCGAGUCGGCCUGCGCGGAAGAUGUAACGGGGCUAAACCAUGCACCGAAGCUGCGGCAGCGACACUAUGUGUUGUUGGGUAGGGGAGCGUUCUGUAAGCCUGCGAAGGUGUGCUGUGAGGCAUGCUGGAGGUAUCAGAAGUGCGAAUGCUGACAUAAGUAACGAUAAAGCGGGUGAAAAGCCCGCUCGCCGGAAGACCAAGGGUUCCUGUCCAACGUUAAUCGGGGCAGGGUGAGUCGACCCCUAAGGCGAGGCCGAAAGGCGUAGUCGAUGGGAAACAGGUUAAUAUUCCUGUACUUGGUGUUACUGCGAAGGGGGGACGGAGAAGGCUAUGUUAGCCGGGCGACGGUUGUCCCGGUUUAAGCAUGUAGGCUGGUUGUCCAGGCAAAUCCGGAUAAUCAAGGCUGAGGUGUGAUGACGAGGCACUACGGUGCUGAAGUAACAAAUGCCCUGCUUCCAGGAAAAGCCUCUAAGCAUCAGGUAACAUCAAAUCGUACCCCAAACCGACACAGGUGGUCAGGUAGAGAAUACCAAGGCGCUUGAGAGAACUCGGGUGAAGGAACUAGGCAAAAUGGUGCCGUAACUUCGGGAGAAGGCACGCUGGUGUGUAGGUGAAGCCCCUGCGGGUGGAGCUGAGACCAGUCGAAGAUACCAGCUGGCUGCAACUGUUUAUUAAAAACACAGCACUGUGCAAACACGAAAGUGGACGUAUACGGUGUGACGCCUGCCCGGUGCCGGAAGGUUAAUUGAUGGGGUUAUCCGUAAGGAGAAGCUCUUGAUCGAAGCCCCGGUAAACGGCGGCCGUAACUAUAACGGUCCUAAGGUAGCGAAAUUCCUUGUCGGGUAAGUUCCGACCUGCACGAAUGGCGUAAUGAUGGCCAGGCUGUCUCCACCCGAGACUCAGUGAAAUUGAACUCGCUGUGAAGAUGCAGUGUACCCGCGGCAAGACGGAAAGACCCCGUGAACCUUUACUAUAGCUUGACACUGAACAUUGAGCCUUGAUGUGUAGGAUAGGUGGGAGGCUUUGAAGCGUGGACGCCAGUCUGCGUGGAGCCAACCUUGAAAUACCACCCUUUAAUGUUUGAUGUUCUAACGUUGGCCCCUUACCGGGGUUGCGGACAGUGUCUGGUGGGUAGUUUGACUGGGGCGGUCUCCUCCCAAAGCGUAACGGAGGAGCACGAAGGUUAGCUAAUCCUGGUCGGACAUCAGGAGGUUAGUGCAAUGGCAUAAGCUAGCUUGACUGCGAGCGUGACGGCGCGAGCAGGUGCGAAAGCAGGUCAUAGUGAUCCGGUGGUUCUGAAUGGAAGGGCCAUCGCUCAACGGAUAAAAGGUACUCCGGGGAUAACAGGCUGAUACCGCCCAAGAGUUCAUAUCGACGGCGGUGUUUGGCACCUCGAUGUCGGCUCAUCACAUCCUGGGGCUGAAGUAGGUCCCAAGGGUAUGGCUGUUCGCCAUUUAAAGUGGUACGCGAGCUGGGUUUAGAACGUCGUGAGACAGUUCGGUCCCUAUCUGCCGUGGGCGCUGGAGAAUUGAGGGGGGCUGCUCCUAGUACGAGAGGACCGGAGUGGACGCAUCACUGGUGUUCGGGUUGUCAUGCCAAUGGCACUGCCCGGUAGCUAAAUGCGGAAGAGAUAAGUGCUGAAAGCAUCUAAGCACGAAACUUGCCCCGAGAUGAGUUCUCCCUGAGACUUUAAGUCUCCUGAAGGAACGUUGAAGACGACGACGUUGAUAGGCCGGGUGUGUAAGCGCAGCGAUGCGUUGAGCUAACCGGUACUAAUGAACCGUGAGGCUUAACCUUACAACGCCGAAG